RNAcentral lists this ribosomal RNA (450 nucleotides) under uncultured Glomeromycotina. RNAcentral describes it as "SSU rRNA". It matches the Rfam family "Eukaryotic small subunit ribosomal RNA", at positions 569 to 1023 of the family's 1831-position model. Lineage: Eukaryota; Fungi; Glomeromycota. The record is from RNAcentral.
AGCAGCCGCGGUAAUUCCAGCUCCAAUAGCGUAUAUUAAAGUUGUUGCAGUUAAAAAGCUCGUAGUUGAAUUUCGGGGUCAAUACGUCGGUCGUGCCUUCGGUACGUACUGGUGUUAUUGAUCUCUCCCUUCUGAUGAAUCAUGAUGUCAUUAAUUUGGUGUCGUGGGGAGUCAGGACUGUUACUUUGAAAAAAUUAGAGUGUUUAAAGCAGGCUUACGCCUGAAUACAUUAGCAUGGAAUAAUGAAAUAGGACGUUCGAUCCUAUUUUGUUGGUUUCUAGGAUCAACGUAAUGAUUAAUAGGGAUAGUUGGGGGCAUUAGUAUUCAAUUGUCAGAGGUGAAAUUCUUGGAUUUAUUGAAGACUAACUACUGCGAAAGCAUUUGCCAAGGAUGUUUUCAUUAAUCAAGAACGAAAGUUAGGGGAUCGAAGACGAUCAGAUACCGUCGUAG